GCGCCGUUAGCUCAAUGGCAGAGCAGCUGGCUCUUAACCAGCGGGUUCGGGGUUCGAGUCCCUGACGGCGCACCG
Molecule: transfer RNA, 75 nt
Filed under: Pseudonocardia sp. P1
Lineage: Bacteria; Bacillati; Actinomycetota; Actinomycetes; Pseudonocardiales; Pseudonocardiaceae
Also listed under: 3 other names
Description: tRNA-Lys
Rfam family: tRNA
About the family: Transfer RNA (tRNA) molecules are approximately 80 nucleotides in length. Their secondary structure includes four short double-helical elements and three loops (D, anti-codon, and T loops). Further hydrogen bonds mediate the characteristic L-shaped molecular structure. tRNAs have two regions of fundamental functional importance: the anti-codon, which is responsible for specific mRNA codon recognition, and the 3' end, to which the tRNAs corresponding amino acid is attached (by aminoacyl-tRNA synthetases). tRNAs cope with the degeneracy of the genetic code in two manners: having more than one tRNA (with a specific anti-codon) for a particular amino acid; and 'wobble' base-pairing, i.e. permitting non-standard base-pairing at the 3rd anti-codon position.
Source: RNAcentral